RNAcentral lists this ribosomal RNA (739 nucleotides) under uncultured bacterium. Its description in RNAcentral is "bacterial SSU rRNA". It matches the Rfam family "Bacterial small subunit ribosomal RNA", at positions 8 to 794 of the family's 1533-position model. The record is from RNAcentral.
AGAGUUUGAUCCUGGCUCAGAACGAACGCUGGCGGCAGGCCUAACACAUGCAAGUCGAGCGCCCCGCAAGGGGAGCGGCGGACGGGUGAGUAACACGUGGGAAUUUUCCUCAAGGUACGGAACAACUCAGGGAAACUUGGGCUAAUACCGUAUGAUGCAGAGAUGCCAAAGAUUUAUCGCCUUGGGAUAAGCCCGCGUCAGAUUAGGUAGUUGGUGAGGUAACGGCUCACCAAGCCUGUGAUCUGUAGCUGGUCUGAGAGGACGAUCAGCCACAUUGGGACUGAGACACGGCCCAAACUCCUACGGGAGGCAGCAGUGGGGAAUCUUGCGCAAUGGGCGAAAGCCUGACGCAGCCAUGCCGCGUGAAUGAUGAAGGUCUUAGGAUUGUAAAGUUCUUUCGCUCGUGACGAUGAUGACGGUAACGAGAGAAGAAGCCCCGGCUAACUUCGUGCCAGCAGCCGCGGUAAUACGAAGGGGGCUAGCGUUGUUCGGAAUUACUGGGCGUAAAGCGCGCGUAGGCGGCUUUGCAAGCCAGAGGUGAAAUGCCUGAGCUCAACUUAGGAAUUGCCUUUGGGACUGCGAGGCUUCGAGGACUGGAGAGGUGAGUGGAAUUCCCAGUGUAGAGGUGAAAUUCGUAGAUAUUGGGAAGAACACCAGUGGCGAAGGCGGCUCACUGGCCAGUUUCUGACGCUAAAGUGCGAAAGCGUGGGGAUCAAACAGGAUUAGAUACCCCGGUAGU